UUUUUUUUUUUUUUUUCCGCAAUAUUUAAUUUAGCACACAGAAAACAAAGAAAUUUAUGCGAUUGCUAAAAAAGACCACCUCACAGGAAUGUGCUCGAAGAUCUCGACAUUUGCAUCAGUUGUGGAUCCAACACAUCCAGCGUCCACUAUUACGCUGUGUGUGUGUGUGUGUGUGUGUGUGUGUGUGUGUCGUAAGUCUUAUCUUAUCUUGUCAGUCACUAUUUAUAUGUGUGCAUCUCUCUCUCUCUCUCUCUCUCUCUCUCUCUCUCUCUCUCUUAGCACGCCACUCUCUCUGAGACAAAAGCAAACAGCUGUGGGUUACGUACAAACCGGUCAAGUAGGAUGAUCCUCACAACGCUUCAAGACGCCUCACACUCACCACAUCGACACCCUAAUGACAGUCAAAAAGUGCAUGCUGUACCGGCCAAAAGCCUGACAUGUCUGGACAUGCACCGUCAUUGCUUUCUCUGGAUCUCCGCCCAGUGGCUGUGAUAAUGCUGAUGAAAAAAUUAUGAAUUUGCUGCCAUGCAUAGUUAUGGAUUUAUGAAAAGGUAAUAAAUUUAUGGUUUUACAGCAGUAGACUAAUGUUAAAUAGUAAAAUAGAUCUCAAUGCUAAGAUUAUUAACAGUGAUCAUUAAGCAAAAAGCUGAGUUAUAUGCACAAAUGGAUUUUUUGUAUAUGAAAAAUAAUAUAUCUGCAAUGAUAACAGUAAAUAGUAUAAACAUAAAAACAAUAAAAAUUUAAUAUUACAGUGCUUUCAGGAUGUCUGCAUCUCAUAUAUUAUCAAUAUAUAUUAGGCAUCAUGUUAUUCUGAAUGUAGGGUCUCUUUAGGGCAUCUGUACCUAUUAGGUUGUUACAAGUUCAGAUUUUAUCAUAAUAAUGUGAUUCUUUUAUUGAAACUCUGAAAACUCCAGUUUCUUACCUUCCAUAUGCUGAGCUGGAAAUCCUAUCCUCUGAGAUCACUUUUAACAUUACCAGUCCCUCACACCUGCUGAAAAACUACUCAUGCUCUGUAUGUUUUACAUCAUUUUGUCAGCUUUAAUCUUAAUGAAGUUCACUUCAUUAUUAUUGUCUUCUUUUGCUUUACCAUGUUGCAUUAAUUAACUACAUCAGUGGCUUCUAAUGUGUGUGUGUGUGGGCUACACUCAAGAUAACCCAUGCAUACUGCAAAUUUGCAUAUAAUGAAUACUUAUAUCAACAGAUUAAACAAGGAUGAACUCCACACAUCCCAAAGUACCAUAUUAUAGCCAUAAAGUAUCUACAUUUGCAUACAAAAACAUACAAAUGCAACGCAACAUGGUACAGUCCAUAGUGAAAAACAAGGAAUGUUAUAAUUCUAUAAUUUCCAUAUACAUGUACUUAUGUACUUAAUGACAAGAUGUGUAGAUUUGCCUCAAGCCUACCAGGCAUUGUGACACACACAAUUUGUUUUAUUGACAAACUGCUUUAGUUGAGGUUUUGUCAGGCACAUACUUCACAUACCUUAGCUCUGCUCAUGAGAUUCUGCUUUCAAUAGGCAUAAGCUCUACCCUCAAGUAUUCCCACAAACUGGUGUCAAGCUUGAGCCAAGCUCAGUCUAGAGUCAUCUCAUAAGCCACUGCUGACAUGAUGCCACACAAUGCACUUACUUUCCAUUGGUACAUAUAAGUAUAUAGCAGAACCCUUUCAUCCACCAACUUAGCACCUAUGAAUUUCGAUUGAUUGUGGAUCAGUAAAAUUAAUUCACAGUUUUGCUAAAUAUAAAGAUAUAAGUUCUUAACAUGCAAAUUAAGUGCUGCUUUUCCUGAAAUUUCAAUUUUUGUUAUUUUUAACUUCAUGCAAUUAUUCAUUAUGAAGAAACCAUACUGGUCCAUAACAGAAUCUGCUUCAAUAUCUUUUACUGGGCUUGAUCUUUUAAAAAUCAAAUUACAAUUAUGGUUUUAAA
This is a long non-coding RNA of Scylla paramamosain (green mud crab), 1924 nucleotides long. RefSeq lists it as uncharacterized. NCBI's taxonomy places the organism in Eukaryota, Metazoa, Arthropoda, Malacostraca, Decapoda, Portunidae. The record is from RefSeq and is a predicted model, not a curated record. The transcript has 3 exons.